AUUGAACGCUGGCGGCAUGCUUUACACAUGCAAGUCGAACGGCAGCGGGGGCUUCGGCCUGCCGGCGAGUGGCGAACGGGUGAGUAAUGCAUCGGAACGUGCCCAUGUCGUGGGGGAUAACGUAGCGAAAGCUACGCUAAUACCGCAUACGUCCUGAGGGAGAAAGCGGGGGAUCUUUGGACCUCGCGCGAUUGGAGCGGCCGAUGUCGGAUUAGCUAGUAGGUGAGGUAAAGGCUCACCUAGGCGACGAUCCGUAGCGGGUCUGAGAGGAUGAUCCGCCACACUGGGACUGAGACACGGCCCAGACUCCUACGGGAGGCAGCAGUGGGGAAUUUUGGACAAUGGGGGCAACCCUGAUCCAGCCAUGCCGCGUGAGUGAAGAAGGCCUC
This 389-nucleotide ribosomal RNA is filed under the name uncultured bacterium. Its description in RNAcentral is "bacterial SSU rRNA". It matches the Rfam family "Bacterial small subunit ribosomal RNA", at positions 28 to 418 of the family's 1533-position model. The record is from RNAcentral.